CGAAAGCCUGACGGAGCAACGCCGCGUGAGGGAGGAAGGCCCUAGGGUUGUAAACCUCUUUUCUCUGGGAAGAAGAUCUGACGGUACCAGAGGAAUAAGCCUCGGCUAACUCCGUGCCAGCAGCCGCGGUAAUACGGAGGAGGCAAGCGUUAUCCGGAAUGAUUGGGCGUAAAGCGUCCGCAGGUGGCGAUGCAAGUCUGCUGUCAAAACCCAGGGCUCAACUCUGGUCAGGCAGUGGAAACUACAAAGCUAGAGUCUGGUAGGGGCAAAGGGAAUUCCCGGUGUAGCGGUGAAAUGCGUAGAGAUCGGGAAGAACAUCGGUGGCGAAAGCGCUUUGCUAGACCAGAACUGACACUCAGGGACGAAAGCUAGGGGAGCG
This 379-nucleotide ribosomal RNA is filed under the name uncultured cyanobacterium. RNAcentral's name for it is "bacterial SSU rRNA". It matches the Rfam family "Bacterial small subunit ribosomal RNA", at positions 376 to 770 of the family's 1533-position model. The record is from RNAcentral. Lineage: Bacteria; Bacillati; Cyanobacteriota.